Molecule: long non-coding RNA, 570 nt
Filed under: Homo sapiens (human)
Lineage: Eukaryota; Metazoa; Chordata; Mammalia; Primates; Hominidae
Description: HSALNT0362483
Source: RNAcentral
AGACAGAGGGAGAGACAAUGGAAGCAGAGAUUUUAGUAAUACAGUUUCCAGCCAAGGAACGUUCAAAAUGGCCAACAACCACCAGAAGUUAGGAAGAGGCAAGGAAGGAUGCUUCUGGAGAACCUGCAGAGAGGGCAUGGCCCUUCCCAACACCUUGAUUUUGGACUUCUAGCCUCAAAAUUAAACAAGAAUUGAAAUGGUGUGACUAUGGAAGCUGUGGCUUUGUUGCCUCACCUAUCCCAAAUCAGUUGGUUUGCUAUCUGCAGGGAAUAAAGAGCAAGUUAUUAAAAGCAGUAAAAAGUAAACACGCAAUUAUUGAAUAGUUGGUUAUUCGUCCUCAUUUCAUUUGGGCUGUCUGGCAGAUGUACUGACUUCAUUCUCAACUCUUAAGAGUGAUCUUAGGAAAAUCGUCUCAUGUUGCCCUGUUUACAUGGAACAUUUUAAUAAUCAGAAUACCAGAAAAUGUCGUGUGAAGUAUAGUGAACGACAUUCACAUUAUCUAUACAGGGUAUCUAAACAUAUUUUCCUGUCUCUAGCCUCCUUCUAUUAAUUUUCCUUAUUUUGUAUUAU